GGGUUGUGAGGUUAAGCGACUAAGCGUACACGGUGGAUGCCCUGGCAGUCAGAGGCGAUGAAGGACGUGCUAAUCUGCGAUAAGCGUCGGUAAGGUGAUAUGAACCGUUAUAACCGGCGAUUUCCGAAUGGGGAAACCCAGUGUGUUUCGACACACUAUCAUUAACUGAAUCCAUAGGUUAAUGAGGCGAACCGGGGGAACUGAAACAUCUAAGUACCCCGAGGAAAAGAAAUCAACCGAGAUUCCCCCAGUAGCGGCGAGCGAACGGGGAGCAGCCCAGAGCCUGAAUCAGUGUGUGUGUUAGUGGAAGCGUCUGGAAAGGCGCGCGAUACAGGGUGACAGCCCCGUACACAAAAAUGCACAUGCUGUGAGCUCGAUGAGUAGGGCGGGACACGUGGUAUCCUGUCUGAAUAUGGGGGGACCAUCCUCCAAGGCUAAAUACUCCUGACUGACCGAUAGUGAACCAGUACCGUGAGGGAAAGGCGAAAAGAACCCCGGCGAGGGGAGUGAAAAAAAGAACCUGAAACCGUGUACGUACAAGCAGUGGGAGCACGCUUAGGCGUGUGACUGCGUACCUUUGUAUAAUGGGUCAGCGACUUAUAUUCUGUAGCAAGGUUAACCGAAUAGGGGAGCCGAAGGGAAACCGAGUCUUAACUGGGCGUUAAGUUGCAGGGUAUAGACCCGAAACCCGGUGAUCUAGCCAUGGGCAGGUUGAAGGUUGGGUAACACUAACUGGAGGACCGAACCGACUAAUGUUGAAAAAUUAGCGGAUGACUUGUGGCUGGGGGUGAAAGGCCAAUCAAACCGGGAGAUAGCUGGUUCUCCCCGAAAGCUAUUUAGGUAGCGCCUCGUGAAUUCAUCUCCGGGGGUAGAGCACUGUUUCGGCAAGGGGGUCAUCCCGACUUACCAACCCGAUGCAAACUGCGAAUACCGGAGAAUGUUAUCACAGGGAGACACACGGCGGGUGCUAACGUCCGUCGUGAAGAGGGAAACAACCCAGACCGCCAGCUAAGGUCCCAAAGUCAUGGUUAAGUGGGAAACGAUGUGGGAAGGCCCAGACAGCCAGGAUGUUGGCUUAGAAGCAGCCAUCAUUUAAAGAAAGCGUAAUAGCUCACUGGUCGAGUCGGCCUGCGCGGAAGAUGUAACGGGGCUAAACCAUGCACCGAAGCUGCGGCAGCGACGCUUAUGCGUUGUUGGGUAGGGGAGCGUUCUGUAAGCCUGCGAAGGUGUGCUGUGAGGCAUGCUGGAGGUAUCAGAAGUGCGAAUGCUGACAUAAGUAACGAUAAAGCGGGUGAAAAGCCCGCUCGCCGGAAGACCAAGGGUUCCUGUCCAACGUUAAUCGGGGCAGGGUGAGUCGACCCCUAAGGCGAGGCCGAAAGGCGUAGUCGAUGGGAAACAGGUUAAUAUUCCUGUACUUGGUGUUACUGCGAAGGGGGGACGGAGAAGGCUAUGUUGGCCGGGCGACGGUUGUCCCGGUUUAAGCGUGUAGGCUGGUUUUCCGGGCAAAUCCGGAAAAUCAAGGCUGAGGCGUGAUGACGAGGCACUACGGUGCUGAAGCAACAAAUGCCCUGCUUCCAGGAAAAGCCUCUAAGCAUCAGGUAACAUCAAAUCGUACCCCAAACCGACACAGGUGGUCAGGUAGAGAAUACCAAGGCGCUUGAGAGAACUCGGGUGAAGGAACUAGGCAAAAUGGUGCCGUAACUUCGGGAGAAGGCACGCUGAUAUGUAGGUGAAGUCCCUCGCGGAUGGAGCUGAAAUCAGUCGAAGAUACCAGCUGGCUGCAACUGUUUAUUAAAAACACAGCACUGUGCAAACACGAAAGUGGACGUAUACGGUGUGACGCCUGCCCGGUGCCGGAAGGUUAAUUGAUGGGGUCAGCGCAAGCGAAGCUCUUGAUCGAAGCCCCGGUAAACGGCGGCCGUAACUAUAACGGUCCUAAGGUAGCGAAAUUCCUUGUCGGGUAAGUUCCGACCUGCACGAAUGGCGUAAUGAUGGCGGGCUGUCUCCACCCGAGACUCAGUGAAAUUGAACUCGCUGUGAAGAUGCAGUGUACCCGCGGCAAGACGGAAAGACCCCGUGAACCUUUACUAUAGCUUGACACUGAACAUUGAGCCUUGAUGUGUAGGAUAGGUGGGAGGCUUUGAAGUGUGGACGCCAGUCUGCAUGGAGCCGACCUUGAAAUACCACCCUUUAAUGUUUGAUGUUCUAACGUGGACCCGUGAUCCGGGUUGCGGACAGUGUCUGGUGGGUAGUUUGACUGGGGCGGUCUCCUCCUAAAGAGUAACGGAGGAGCACGAAGGUUGGCUAAUCCUGGUCGGACAUCAGGAGGUUAGUGCAAUGGCAUAAGCCAGCUUGACUGCGAGCGUGACGGCGCGAGCAGGUGCGAAAGCAGGUCAUAGUGAUCCGGUGGUUCUGAAUGGAAGGGCCAUCGCUCAACGGAUAAAAGGUACUCCGGGGAUAACAGGCUGAUACCGCCCAAGAGUUCAUAUCGACGGCGGUGUUUGGCACCUCGAUGUCGGCUCAUCACAUCCUGGGGCUGAAGUAGGUCCCAAGGGUAUGGCUGUUCGCCAUUUAAAGUGGUACGCGAGCUGGGUUUAGAACGUCGUGAGACAGUUCGGUCCCUAUCUGCCGUGGGCGCUGGAGAAUUGAGGGGGGCUGCUCCUAGUACGAGAGGACCGGAGUGGACGCAUCACUGGUGUUCGGGUUGUCAUGCCAAUGGCACUGCCCGGUAGCUAAAUGCGGAAGAGAUAAGUGCUGAAAGCAUCUAAGCACGAAACUUGCCCCGAGAUGAGUUCUCCCUGACUCCUUGAGAGUCCUGAAGGAACGUUGAAGACGACGACGUUGAUAGGCCGGGUGUGUAAGCGCAGCGAUGCGUUGAGCUAACCGGUACUAAUGAACCGUGAGGCUUAACCUUACAACGCCGAAGCUGUU
RNAcentral lists this ribosomal RNA (2931 nucleotides) under Escherichia coli. RNAcentral's name for it is "23S ribosomal RNA". It matches the Rfam family "Bacterial large subunit ribosomal RNA". Lineage: Bacteria; Pseudomonadati; Pseudomonadota; Gammaproteobacteria; Enterobacterales; Enterobacteriaceae. The record is from RNAcentral.